GAUGGUGCGCAGUCAGUUCAUUCGCACCAUUUUCUGUUAAUAGCUAGGGUCUCCAUUUAAUAGGUGCUCUAUGGCAUAUGUUGUUCAAAAUCAGUGGAAAAAGAAGGCUCAGUUGAGAACUAGACUAAUUAUGAGGUCGAUGAAAUGAUUACAUAUAGCACUCGCUUUACCUUUUGUAUAGGAUGUCUAUUGACUUAUAUUUGCUUGCUUAUGACUGAUUAGUUAAAGUAUAGUACAAAAAUAAAACGAGAUAUAUACACAUGGGAAUAAGUUAUUGCAUAAUGAAACUAAGGAGGGAUAAGGCUAAAAUAUAGAUAAAGUUUCUUCAAAUUUUGCAGAACAAUAAUAUUGAGCUUCAUAUCAAGACCUGGGAAUGGAUGGAUAUGCGGAAGCCGCUCUGACCACGGCAACCAUACGAUGACAUUUAUUCAGUAGCUCUAUGUUACACCACAUUAUGCGUACUGUACUGCAUGGAUUUAAAUAUUUGGCAAAUAUUUGAUUUACGUGGGGUGAGGGAUAUAUGGUAACCAUAUAAGGGAAGAGGGGAUGAGUUGGGAUAGCUAGGUGUUUUCUUUUUUCUUCUUUCCUAGUUAUUUUAUUAAUCCUUUUAUGUCCUUUGAAAUACAAUGGCACACAUACAUAUUCAACCUCUUACUUUCUUAAAGGUAAUAACAGUAACAUAACAAGACUCCAUAUGAUAAGGUGCCAACCUUAGGAAUGAUAGUCAACUGUUGAAUGCAGAAAUGCUGAACUUCAUCGAGACAACAGGAACUUCUAAGCUUCUAUUGAAAGCUCAAAAUACCAAAGCGUCAUGAUAUCGGCUUACCUUCUAAAACUUAAUUGGAGUAACAUAACAAGGCUCCAUAUGAUUAGGUGCCAAAACCUUAGGCAUAUGAUAGUCCGGUUGAAUGGCAGAAAUGCGGAACUUGGUCGAGAUGACAUGAACUUCGUUCUAAGCUUCUAUUGAAAGCCCCAAAUCUCAAAGUGUCAUGAGAUCCCCAUACUUCUAGGUCACGGUUUUUGGCUUUGGGCUGGUGGAUUAAUACAUAUACAGCUGAAACGUGUGGCCAAGCCAUGCCCGUACGAUUCAUUCUCAUAUAUAUGUUUCUGUGCAUCUUCAAUAUACUUUCCAAUAACACAUUGCCAUGUUAGUAUCCCCACUUUUAUUAUUUUUACCAAACAUAUGCCUAGCUUGGAAUAAGAGGAAUCAGCAAAUUAACCAGCACAUGUUGGUCAAAGGAAGCUUUGUGUUGUGCCGCUCGCAGCUUACUGCAGCGCAUUCAUCGCAAACAACUGGAUUCUGUGCUGUUCAAUUAUCGAGCCGAAUACAAUUAACCAAGAUGGGUACGUUGGCGACAACUAGGAGAGGGCGUAGAGGCUGGCCUGACGAUAAUGAACUAGCAGGAGCGGUACUAACCGGGAUACGGCUUGCUGCACGGUGCAACCGUUUAGUUACUAAGUAUAUACUGAGUUGAUACGGCUACAACAAAAAAGUGUUUGAAACUCCUGAUUUCUUAUACAAAAUAGUUUCAGUGCGAUGACAGUUCUUCUUGACACGCACUCGUGCCGUACAUGAAACAUGCAACGUGUGCUCGAUGAUAAGCGCGACAUGCAAGACGCACCGCCCACACCCUAGGACUUAGGGCGGAC
This 1650-nucleotide long non-coding RNA is filed under the name Setaria viridis. RNAcentral's name for it is "long non-coding RNA (SVIR_LNC003682)". Lineage: Eukaryota; Viridiplantae; Streptophyta; Magnoliopsida; Poales; Poaceae. The record is from RNAcentral.